AAGAAGAGCCUCUGCCUCGAGCUUCUCCAGCCAUUCAUUCCGCCAUGCCCUUUGUGCCCCCGGGAGACUGAAAUCCUCUGCAACAGGAGCAAAACACAAUUUUCCCUCACACUGUUUCAGCGAGGGAGGGAUUUCGGUCUCAGCAACACAGUGCGAAAGUAACUGACACACAGCCUUAUGGCUUUUCCCAAGCAAAAGCGAAUGAAACGUCAACACAAGUCAGAGAGCUGCGCUGGUCUACCUCUGUGAUGUCUAAGAUACCUGUGAUGAGCUGCACUGGUCCACCUCCGUGAUGUCUAAGAUGUCCAUGUUGAGCUGUGCUGGUCCACCUCUGUGACGUCUAAGAUGUCCAUGUUGAGCUGCGCUGGUCCACCUCUGUGAUGUCUAAGAUGUCCAUGUUGAGCUGCGCUGGUCCACCUCUGUGAUGUCUAAGAUGCCCAUGAUGAGCUGCGCUGGUCCACCUCUGUGAUGUGUAAGAUGCCCAGGAUGGACUGACUCACUUACCUGGCAAUCUGCCUGUGAUGGGGUUGUUUAGGUAGAGGUGGGGCCUCCUGAGCUCCUCUUCUCCCAACUUAAUAACGAUGACCUGAGAAGGUGACAGAAAAACAGAAGAGAAAACUGGAACCUGGAAGGCCUGUGGACUGCACACCACCCUGCCAUUUCCGGGCUGCAGUUUUGGGAGCUUAUGUCCACUUCAUUUGGAUAAGUAGAAGGCUGUGUACUCAGAGACCAGCAUAAAAGGGCAUGGAGAUUAAAGCCACAAGAACGCUCCCCACACCUCCAGGUGGCAGCAGGAAGGCAGGGCAGUUAGGGAACACCCACAGGGUUAGUAGCAGCAGCAGCAGCAUUUUCUGUGGCUGUGGCUGCUGUUCCUCCACUGAGGCAAUGCGGAGACAGUGACUGACUCUGGCCCUUGGGCCAAAUGGUGCUCAGAGGCCUUUCAGUAUCUCUUGGGUGCUGUGGUUAUUAAUAAUGACCGUCAACCUCACGGCCUUGGGAGCUGUAGGCAACACACAUCUGGGUGUGCAUGUGAGGAGGGCAUUCCCAGAGAGCCUUAACUGAGGAGGGAGGAUAUGGCCCUGGAAAGGGGGCCCUCACCUCUCUGUGCUUCACAACUGUAGACACAAUGCAAUCAUCUGCUUCACAUGCCGUCCCCAGCAGGACUCUGUCUCUCUCUCUCUCUCUCUCUCUCUCUCUCUCUCUCUCUCUCUCUCUCUCUCUCUCUCUCUGUCUCUCUCUCUGUCUCUGUGUGUGUGUGUGUGUGUGUGCACACGCGCGCGCGCGUGCGUGUUACAUGUUCACAUGUUCAUGAUGUUUUGGCACCUGCACUUGUGUGUGCAUGUGUCUUUGGAUGCCAGAGCUCAUUACCAGGAGGCUUCCUUAACCACCGCACCUCACUCUUUUGGAGGCAGGUUCUCUCAGCAAACAGGGAGCUCACCAACGAGGCAUGUGGGCUGGCAGGGGUGCUCCAGGGACCCUUCUGUCUCUGCCUCCCCAGUGCUGGGACGAUAGGUAUUUGUCACCAUGCAUAGCUUCUUAUGUGUGUGCUUGAUCCGAACUCAGCUCUUCUUGUUAGCACCGCUAAGUGACUGAUUGAGCCGUUCCGAAGCCCCCAUUGUGGACCCUUCCUAAGCCUGUUUGGAAGACUUAACUGUCUUGGAAGACUUUUAGCUUUUGUUGCCUCUUCUCCCUCCCCCCCCCCGACUUCUUUGAAGCCUCACCCCCUGAAAGUCACUGGAGAACCGAAGGCGUUUCUCAUCACUCCGCUGGCAUUGAUAACCGGAGCGCCCUUCAGGUCCUUGUAGCAGAAUCCUACGUCUAUGCGUGACCUUGGGUAUUUGUGGUGUUUGGGCCUUUUGGAAGUUGCCCCACAUAUAAGGUCAGUUUUCUUGGUAGCUGGGGUGAGAUGACCAACGUGCCUUGCCAAGCCAUCUAAAUGGUCUCCAAAUGGCAGCUAACUUUAGACAGAAAGGAUUUGGUCCUAAAUUUGAAGUUGGGACUGAGAAGAGCAAGUCUCUGUAUCCCACGGCAGGAACCACCCAGAUUCUCCACGAUACCCUACAUCAAAGCCUUAUAAUAAAGUGCCCUGUGGGGCUUGGUGCC
Long non-coding RNA from Mesocricetus auratus (golden hamster), 2103 nucleotides. RefSeq lists it as uncharacterized. The transcript has 2 exons. The record is from RefSeq and is a predicted model, not a curated record. Lineage: Eukaryota; Metazoa; Chordata; Mammalia; Rodentia; Cricetidae.